AGUUUGAUCCUGGCUCAGGAUGAACGCUAGCGGCAGGCCUAAUACAUGCAAGUCGAACGGGAUUGGAAGCUUGCUUCCAUGAGAGUGGCGUACGGGUGCGUAACGCGUAUGCAACCUACCACCAUCAGGGGUAUAGCCCCCGGAAACGGGGAUUAACACCGCAUGAAGACACAGUACCGCAUGGUACAAUGUCCAAACAUUUAUGGGAUGGUGAUGGGCAUGCGUGCCAUUAGCUAGUUGGCGGGGUAACGGCCCACCAAGGCUACGAUGGCUAGGGGAUCUGAGAGGAUGACCCCCCACACUGGUACUGAGACACGGACCAGACUCCUACGGGAGGCGGCAGUAAGGAAUAUUGGUCAAUGGGGGCAACCCUGAACCAGCCAUGCCGCGUGCAGGAAGACAGCCCUAUGGGUCGUAAACUGCUUUUAUACGGGAAUAAACCACCCCUCGUGAGGAGUGUUGAAGGUACCGUAAGAAUAAGGAUCGGCUAACUCCGUGCCAGCAGCCGCGGUAAUACGGAGGAUCCAAGCGUUAUCCGGAUUUAUUGGGUUUAAAGGGAGCGUAGGCGGCCCGUUAAGUCAGGGGUGAAAGACGGUGGCUCAACCAUCGCAGUGCCUUUGAUACUGGCGGGCUUGAAUGUAGUUGAGGUGGGCGGAAUGUGACAAGUAGCGGUGAAAUGCAUAGAUAUGUCACAGAACGCCGAUUGCGAAGGCAGCUCACCAAGCUAUGAUUGACGCUGAGGCUCGAAAGCGUGGGGAUCAAACAGGAUUAGAUACCCUGGUAGUCCACGCCCUAAACGAUGAUAACUCGAUGUUGGCGAUAUACAGUCAGCGUCCAAGCGAAAGCGUUAAGUUAUCCACCUGGGGAGUACGCCCGCAAGGGUGAAACUCAAAGGAAUUGACGGGGGCCCGCACAAGCGGAGGAGCAUGUGGUUUAAUUCGAUGAUACGCGAGGAGCCUUACCCGGGCUUGAAAGUUACUGAAGUUGCCAGAGAUGGCAGCGUCCUUCGGGACAGGAAACUAGGUGCUGCAUGGCUGUCGUCAGCUCGUG
Molecule: ribosomal RNA, 1050 nt
Filed under: uncultured Bacteroidota bacterium
Lineage: Bacteria; Pseudomonadati; Bacteroidota
Description: bacterial SSU rRNA
Rfam family: Bacterial small subunit ribosomal RNA
Source: RNAcentral